GGGGCUGACCGGUAUUGACAGGAUGCGUGAGGGUGUGAGUAAGCAUGCAGGCUCAUGGGAUGAGAGCCUUGAAAGAUAGUCCUACCAUUUACGUGGCGAAAAUACUUACGCCAUGGCUGCUUAAUCUGACGUACUGUUAGAUUAGCUUGUCUCGCUUAAGAAGUGAGAGGCCAUCAUCGCCCAUACCUCUGUUCUGCGGGUGUGGAUCAGCGGUGUCGACAGCUUGAACUGGGCCACUUCGUUGUUGCGCGAGGUUGUCGAGAAAACAGUAACUAAGAAGUAGUUUAGGCUGUUGCCUGCCUUGCUAUUUCCGACAAUUAAAGUCAACUAAGCAUGUAGAAGGUACACGUUCAUCUUCUCUGGACCAGGGUUCGAUUCCCUGCAGCUCCACUU
This 393-nucleotide transfer-messenger RNA is filed under the name Cyclobacteriaceae. Its description in RNAcentral is "ELB16-189 sp013140555 Standard tmRNA". It matches the Rfam family "transfer-messenger RNA". Rfam says of the family: Bacterial tmRNA, also known as 10Sa RNA or SsrA, is named for its dual tRNA and mRNA-like properties. Its role is to liberate the mRNA from a stalled ribosome. The record is from RNAcentral. RNAcentral also lists the same sequence under 1 other name. Lineage: Bacteria; Pseudomonadati; Bacteroidota; Cytophagia; Cytophagales.